This 66-nucleotide transfer RNA is filed under the name Candidatus Alloclostridium intestinigallinarum. It matches the Rfam family "tRNA". Rfam says of the family: Transfer RNA (tRNA) molecules are approximately 80 nucleotides in length. Their secondary structure includes four short double-helical elements and three loops (D, anti-codon, and T loops). Further hydrogen bonds mediate the characteristic L-shaped molecular structure. tRNAs have two regions of fundamental functional importance: the anti-codon, which is responsible for specific mRNA codon recognition, and the 3' end, to which the tRNAs corresponding amino acid is attached (by aminoacyl-tRNA synthetases). tRNAs cope with the degeneracy of the genetic code in two manners: having more than one tRNA (with a specific anti-codon) for a particular amino acid; and 'wobble' base-pairing, i.e. permitting non-standard base-pairing at the 3rd anti-codon position. The record is from RNAcentral. RNAcentral also lists the same sequence under 10 other names. Lineage: Bacteria; Bacillati; Bacillota; Clostridia.
ACUGUGGCUCAGUUGGUAGAGCAGCUGAUUCGUAAUCAGCAGGUCGCCGGUUCGAGUCCGGCCAGU